UACGAAGGGGGCUAGCGUUGCUCGGAAUCACUGGGCGUAAAGCGCCCGUAGGCGGCUUCUUAAGUCAGGGGUGAAAUCCUGGAGCUCAACUCCAGAACUGCCUUUGAUACUGAGGAGCUUGAGUCCGGGAGAGGUGAGUGGAACUGCGAGUGUAGAGGUGAAAUUCGUAGAUAUUCGCAAGAACACCAGUGGCGAAGGCGGCUCACUGGCCCGGUACUGACGCUGAGGUGCGAAAGCGUGGGGAGCAAACAGG
Molecule: ribosomal RNA, 253 nt
Filed under: uncultured bacterium
Lineage: Bacteria
Description: partial 16S ribosomal RNA
Rfam family: Bacterial small subunit ribosomal RNA
Source: RNAcentral